GAGAAUCUCAGGAUUAAAAAAACAAACAACUUCCUCCCCCCCCCCCCCCCCCACUUCUUAAUGCUGCUAUGCAAACUGCCGUCAUUUUUGUUUUCCUUCCACAACAUCAAGGGGAGUUUAAUCUAUUGUAAACUGAUCCUGUCCUAUGGAAAGUUUUCCCUUAAAGUUAAUGGAAGAGACCACAGGAUUGGGUUCAUCUGUUUGCCCAAGGCCGUAAGUUGAAAGUGUAAGUCACAUAAAUUGCAAUUCAUACCUAGUAUAAAAGAACAUACUUGUUUCAAAGGGUUUUUCAGUAGGAUAGUUUUGAGGUUUGUCGUUGUUUUUGCCUUGUUUCAUGGCUAAGACACUACUGUAAGAAUGAUACAAUUGCAGAUGUGCGAACUUGUUCUUCCACACAUUUCAGGACCACAGCCCUAUCUUUUCAGUAUUAAGUGCCAGACACCAGUUUUAGGACCUUAGCACACCGUGGUGUCCUGGUUUUGACUGGGACAGAGUUAAUUUUCUUCCUAGUAGCUGCUGUAGUGCUGUGUUUUGUAUUUAGUAUGAGAAGAAUGUUGAUAAUUCAUUGAUGUUUUGUUUGUUGCUAAGCCUUGUUUAUACCAAGUCCAGGACAUUUCAGCAAGGAGGCUGGAGAGACACAAGAGGCUGGGACCGGGCAGAGCCAGGAUAGCUGAGCCUAACUGGCCAAAGGGAUUUUCCAUACUUUGUGACGCCAUGCUCAGCAUAUAAACUAGGGAAAAGUUAGCUGGGGGAUCACUGCCUGGGGACAGGCUGGGCAUCAGUUCAACAAGUGAUUAACAAUUGCAUUGUACAUCACGUGUUUUAUGUGUUCUAUUUUUUUUUUCUUUUUGUCUUAUUAAACUGUCUUCAUCUUAAUCCAUGAGGUUUACCUUUUUUUUUUUUCUCCCAAUUCUCUCCCCCAUUCCACUGCAGGUGUGGGAGAGGAACAAGUGAAUGACUGUGUGUGGUGUGCAGCUUCCUGCUGGGUUAAAUCACAACAGUUUAUGAGGUUUGGAGUGUUGAAUGAGGACUUGGUGCUGGUGCUGUGCUCAGGGAGUCGUUUUUGCAGCUCUCAGCGCACAAGCCCAGAGCCACUGGAGGAUUUUCCGUGGCCCUGCCAGGUUCAGGCAGCCGGGGCACCCAGGAGACAGCUCGCAGCAGCAGAGCACAUCAUCAGUUGAUGAAGCACCAGUGCGAGGGGGCAGCUCCACACCCCCAGCUCCCCCCAGCCCACCGCAGCAAAUGAACAGCAUGGCCAUGGAGCUGGAAGACAGCUGUCCCAUCUGCCUGGACAGCUGGGACGAUGUUGCCUAUGUGAUGCCAUGCCUCCACCAAUUCUGCUUCAUGUGCAUCCUGCAGUGGGCAGAGACUAAGCCUGAGUGCCCUCUCUGCAAGGGGAGGGUCCUCUCCAUCACACAUUCACUGUGGGGAGAUGAGGGCUUUGAUGAGCCUGUCAUCCCUCCACCUGCAGCAUCACCAGUCAUUGGCGACCAGGCAGAAGGAGCUCCUGGCCAUCCAGCUGAGCCCAGCCCAGCAGCAUCUCCAGCUUGUGGAGAUGGUGCCUGCUGCCUCCCAAGGAUGGUCUCCCACGCUUGGCCCAGCCCUCUCUAGCAGCCCUGAAGGAGACAACGUGGGUGACUGGCCCAGCACCUCAGCAGCUGUCCUGCUUGGGGGUCCCAGCAGCCCUCCCUCUGCCCUGCUUCCCAUCCCCUGGGAGUAGCAAGAGCCCCAGGAGGAGGCUGCACCAGGUCCAUCUUCUGCCAGCCGGGGCAGGGAACCCUCCCCGGGGGGAGCCACAGUGAGCCCCGCGGAGGAGGGCCGGCAGCCCUGAGGAGUCUUCUCCAGCCGCCAAGAGGCCACCCCACCAGCAGCACUAGAAUGGCCCAGACUCUGCCAAAACCAGGGCUGGGCCAGCAGCUGGGGCUUGUGCCGGCCAGCAAGGGCUCCCAGACCUCUAGGCAUGAUUGUCAGACAGUACAAGA
Long non-coding RNA from Columba livia (rock pigeon), 1982 nucleotides. RefSeq lists it as uncharacterized. The record is from RefSeq and is a predicted model, not a curated record. The transcript has 3 exons. Lineage: Eukaryota; Metazoa; Chordata; Aves; Columbiformes; Columbidae.